RNAcentral lists this transfer RNA (78 nucleotides) under Bovicola caprae. RNAcentral describes it as "tRNA-Met". Lineage: Eukaryota; Metazoa; Arthropoda; Insecta; Psocodea; Bovicoliidae. The record is from RNAcentral.
ACAGGUAAGGGCUGUUAUUCUCAGUCGUUAGACUCAUAAUCUAAAGAUAACCCAAGAGUAAGAAAGGGUUUACUUGUA